Molecule: long non-coding RNA, 942 nt
Filed under: Prunus persica (peach)
Lineage: Eukaryota; Viridiplantae; Streptophyta; Magnoliopsida; Rosales; Rosaceae
Description: long non-coding RNA (PPER_LNC003054)
Source: RNAcentral
AAAAAUUUAACUCUACACUAUUCUUUAAAAAAUUAAUAUUUUGGAGGACUAAAUUUAUAGCCUAUUUAGCCCUAUCACUGGAGAUUGCCUUAUGUCACUCUAACAUUGAUGGGAUUCUCAACCAAGUCAAAAGCACUACUUCCCACUUUUUUGAUGUAGUUGCUCCGCUCUUUCUUUCUCAAUAUUCUGUUAGUGCUCAAUCUACUGACCAUUGGUAGAAGAAAGAAAAAGUUAGCGGGGUGCUUUCUCUCCUCCCUCCCGGUAUCCCCAUUAGUUGAUAUAAGGAAUUGGAAAUGAAUUCCAGAUCAUUCAGAUUGAAGGCGGGAUAUGGAUGGAAUUGAGAGGGAAGAAAAAGUUGAAACCAACUGGGAUCGGAUCUCUCACCAGAAGUUGGAUCAUACACUUAGAAGUCCAAACCCAACACAAAAAGCUAAGUUCAGAAGUUCCAGCAAAAGUCUCCUUGCAAGUGGUGGAAUUCAAAGAUGGGAAGACUCGUAGUCAACCUACCAGGACAUAUUGCAUCACAGCUCAAGAGAAGAGUUUCACAAUCCCGAAUUCCAUUUUAUUGACCAACCAUAUGGGUUGGUGGUGGUUGGGAAGUUCUCAUUAGAUGCUUAGAGCUCCAAAAGACAUUAAUAUUGGAAGGAGUUUCAAGGAAGAGUUAGUUCUAGCCAUUUAAUGACCAAACCCGUUAGCGGAAGAAAGUUCUAGAAAUAGGUCAUUAGAAGAAGAAAAGAGGACCUCCAACUCAACACACAAAACCUAUCUUUUUAUCCUAUACCUUUCAAUUCCUAGUCUAGGAUUUUAUCUUUCAAGCACUUUAGAUUAUCCAAGUUCUUCAUUUUCCUAGUGUAAGCUUAUUUUCUUGCAAUUUACUUUCAGUCGUCAUUAAAUUUAAGUUUAAUUCAAGUCUUUAUCAUUUUAAUCUAUUUUAUCGCAUUU